GGAGGAGGCGGGCGGGCCCCUCGGGCGACACCGCGGGGCGGGCGGCGGGAAGCCCGGACUCAGCGGUUUCCUGGGCAACCGGCCUCCUCCGGCGCGGCCCGCGCGGCUCCAGGUGGCGGGAGGCGGCGGUUGGCGGGAAGGGCCGCGCGGGCCCGGGGGCGGCGCCUCAGAUGCGCUCUUUCCAGAAAGGCAGCACACGCAUGUCUCUGCCGUGGCCCCAGAUCCUCCCCGCGCCGCCGUUUUGAGCGUUCACACUCAUUACCCAGGUCCGUCUGGGAGACCCGCCGGGCUCCCGCCCUCCCGGCCCGCAGCCUCCUGGCCAAAAUCCUCCCGGGACACCCCACCUGGACUGCUGCGAACGGGCCUCCACCCGCCUCCCCGGACCCGCAGCGCCCCCCGCUCCCUCAGGGUUCUGGGGUGAAGGGGUCUGAAUAGCACCAGGGGAGGCGGCAGGGCGGGCCUGUCCUACCUGCGCCCGAGCACUGCUGAGACGACAUCCCUUCCAGCGCCGCCACGUAGUCCAGCCCCAGCCAGCCGCGAUAUCUCCCCACAAACCUAAACAAUUUCGAGAGGGACUUGUGUUCUGCAACCAGUCACAGAAUAUCAGGUGAGCUGGGCGUGUCUUCACUGACCCACCCGCCCAGGGAUGCUGCACUCCUCUCCACCCUGCUCAGAAUCACUAGAAUGACCGUUCUGUGGCUACAGCCCUAAAAGAGCUACUAAAAAGACCAGAAGUAGUAUGAGAACUUAUGAAUACGAAUAUAAAUAAAGGACAUCUGGAG
This 782-nucleotide long non-coding RNA is filed under the name Homo sapiens (human). RNAcentral's name for it is "long non-coding RNA NONHSAT094386.2". Lineage: Eukaryota; Metazoa; Chordata; Mammalia; Primates; Hominidae. The record is from RNAcentral.